AUGUUCAGAAGAAGAGCCUGAAGGUCCAGCAGUGGUUCAGAUGUUCAGAAGAAGAGCCUGAAGGUCCAGCAGUGGUUCAGAUGUUCAGAAGAAGAGCCUGAAGGUCCAGCAGUGGUUCAGAUGUUCAGAAGAAGAGCCUGAAGGUCCAGCAGUGGUUCAGUUGUUCAGAAGAAGAGCCUGAAGGUCCAGCAGUGGUUCAGAUGUUCAGAAGAAGAGCCUGAAGGUCCAGCAGUGGUUCAGAUGUUCAGAAGAAGAGCCUGAAGGUCCAGCAGUGGUUCAGAUGUUCAGAAGAGCCUGAAGGUCCAGCAGUGGUUCAGAUGUUCAGAAGAGCCUGAAGGUCCAGCAGUGGUUCAGAUGUUCAGAAGAGCCUGAAGGUCCAGCAGUGGUUCAGAUGUUCGCUCAGCUGGCUCUAAGUGGGUAAAAAUAUUCAAACAAAUCCUUCACUGAAUAUUUUCUUCACCAGUGGAACAGCAUGAAUGAAAACAUGUCAGAGCUGAUUGACUUCCUGUUGGGUCACAGAUCCAGUUAAUGUCUUGUUAGGACGAGUUUAUGUUUAAAUUUAAUUCUCUUAAACCCUUUAUAUGAAUAAACUAUAAAGUGUGAUGAAGAAGAAACCAAACUGUGUAAAACAGGCUCAGUGUUGGACUGAGAAGGUCGCUGAUGUAGAACGUUUCUCCUGAUAAAUGAACACCAGAGACUGAUGAGAGCAGCCAGAGCUGGUUUAUGAGCUUCCAGUAGUCGAAUCAUCUGAUGAAAUCACUGUUCAGGUGGUUUGUUUCUGCCAUAUUUAUGUUCAGUCUGACUGCAGCUACAAAAACAGAAGCUGUAGAAACUCUGCAGUCAUGAAAAAAGAAACUUUAAAAUUGUUGAUUUUAUCAUUUUAAAGGUUACCAUUUAUUAAAAACUGUUAAAAG
This is a long non-coding RNA of Amphiprion ocellaris (clown anemonefish), 914 nucleotides long. The record is from Ensembl. NCBI's taxonomy places the organism in Eukaryota, Metazoa, Chordata, Actinopteri, Pomacentridae.